GUUUUGAUAGUUUAAUUAGAAUUUAACUUUGAAGAGGUUAGGGUGAGGGUAUUCUCAAAACA
Molecule: transfer RNA, 62 nt
Filed under: Dosinia troscheli
Lineage: Eukaryota; Metazoa; Mollusca; Bivalvia; Venerida; Veneridae
Description: tRNA-Phe
Source: RNAcentral